This 882-nucleotide ribosomal RNA is filed under the name Cryptosporella alni-rubrae. RNAcentral's name for it is "LSU rRNA". It matches the Rfam family "Eukaryotic large subunit ribosomal RNA", at positions 44 to 957 of the family's 3401-position model. The record is from RNAcentral. Lineage: Eukaryota; Fungi; Ascomycota; Sordariomycetes; Diaporthales; Gnomoniaceae.
CAAUAAGCGGAGGAAAAGAAACCAACAGGGAUUGCCCUAGUAACGGCGAGUGAAGCGGCAACAGCUCAAAUUUGAAAUCUGGCUUCGGCCCGAGUUGUAAUUUGCAGAGGAUGUUUAUGGUGCGGUACCUUCCGAGUUCCCUGGAACGGGACGCCACAGAGGGUGAGAGCCCCGUCUGGUUGGAUACCAAACCUGUGUUAAACUCCUUCAACGAGUCGAGUAGUUUGGGAAUGCUGCUCUAAAUGGGAGGUAAAUCUCUUCUAAAGCUAAAUACCGGCCAGAGACCGAUAGCGCACAAGUAGAGUGAUCGAAAGAUGAAAAGCACCUUGAAAAGGGGGUUAAACAGUACGUGAAAUUGUUGAAAGGGAAGCGUUUAUGACCAGACUUGUGUCGUGUGGCUCAUCCGAGGUUCUCCCCGGUGCACUCCACACGGCUCAGGCCAACAUCGGUUCUCGUUGGGGGAUAAGAACAGUAGGAACGUGGCCCCUCUCGGGGGGUGUUAUAGCCUAUUGUACGAUACUCUGACGGGGACCGAGGACCGCGCUUCGGCUAGGAUGUUGGCGUAAUGGUCAUUAGCGACCCGUCUUGAAACACGGACCAAGGAGUCGUCCAUUAGAGCGAGCGUUUGGGUGUAAAACCCGCACGCGUAAUGAAAGUGAAAUUAGGUGAGAGCUUCGGCGCAUCAUCGACCGAUCCUGAAGUUUACGGAUGGAUUUGAGUAAGAGUUUUAACGGACGGACCCGAAAGACAGUGAACUAUGCUUGAAUAGGGUGAAGCCAGAGGAAACUCUGGUGGAGGCUCGCAGCGGUUCUGACGUGCAAAUCGAUCGUCAAAUUUGAGCAUGGGGGCGAAAGACUAAUCGAACUGUCUAGUAGCUGGUUA